Non-coding RNA from Vicia faba (fava bean), 213 nucleotides. The record is from the annotation of a GenBank genome assembly. NCBI's taxonomy places the organism in Eukaryota, Viridiplantae, Streptophyta, Magnoliopsida, Fabales, Fabaceae.
AUGGAUAACUCCUCCGCACACACACUCUACUUCUUCAAUUUUUCCCUGAUCUACAACGCUUUCACCUUAUUCCAUUCUUACGAACGGCGCUGCCUUUUCCUAUCUCUGAUGAAAAAGUUCUUCUACGUCUCAAGCUUCAAUCAUCGCGGCUCAAGCUUUUCAAAGCGGCACGAUUUCCCCCACCACCAACGACGCAACUUCAUGCACUCUUAA